Molecule: ribosomal RNA, 253 nt
Filed under: uncultured bacterium
Lineage: Bacteria
Description: partial 16S ribosomal RNA
Rfam family: Bacterial small subunit ribosomal RNA
Source: RNAcentral
UACGGAGGGCGCUAGCGUUGUUCGGAAAUACUGGGCGUAAAGCGCACGUAGGCGGCGCCGCAAGUCAGGGGUGAAAUCCCGGGGCUCAACCCCGGAACUGCCCUUGAAACUGCGGUGCUAGAAUCUUGGAGAGGCGAGUGGAAUUCCGAGUGUAGAGGUGAAAUUCGUAGAUAUUCGGAAGAACACCAGUGGCGAAGGCGACUCGCUGGACAAGUAUUGACGCUGAGGUGCGAAAGCGUGGGGAGCAAACAGG